RNAcentral lists this ribosomal RNA (1249 nucleotides) under Limosilactobacillus fermentum. RNAcentral's name for it is "bacterial SSU rRNA". It matches the Rfam family "Bacterial small subunit ribosomal RNA", at positions 33 to 1270 of the family's 1533-position model. Lineage: Bacteria; Bacillati; Bacillota; Bacilli; Lactobacillales; Lactobacillaceae. The record is from RNAcentral.
AGUCGGGCGGGUGCUAUACAUGCAGUCGAACGCGUUGGCCCAAUUGAUUGAUGGUGCUUGCACCUGAUUGAUUUUGGUCGCCAACGAGUGGCGGACGGGUGAGUAACACGUAGGUAACCUGCCCAGAAGCGGGGGACAACAUUUGGAAACAGAUGCUAAUACCGCAUAACAGCGUUGUUCGCAUGAACAACGCUUAAAAGAUGGCUUCUCGCUAUCACUUCUGGAUGGACCUGCGGUGCAUUAGCUUGUUGGUGGGGUAACGGCCUACCAAGGCGAUGAUGCAUAGCCGAGUUGAGAGACUGAUCGGCCACAAUGGGACUGAGACACGGCCCAUACUCCUACGGGAGGCAGCAGUAGGGAAUCUUCCACAAUGGGCGCAAGCCUGAUGGAGCAACACCGCGUGAGUGAAGAAGGGUUUCGGCUCGUAAAGCUCUGUUGUUAAAGAAGAACACGUAUGAGAGUAACUGUUCAUACGUUGACGGUAUUUAACCAGAAAGUCACGGCUAACUACGUGCCAGCAGCCGCGGUAAUACGUAGGUGGCAAGCGUUAUCCGGAUUUAUUGGGCGUAAAGAGAGUGCAGGCGGUUUUCUAAGUCUGAUGUGAAAGCCUUCGGCUUAACCGGAGAAGUGCAUCGGAAACUGGAUAACUUGAGUGCAGAAGAGGGUAGUGGAACUCCAUGUGUAGCGGUGGAAUGCGUAGAUAUAUGGAAGAACACCAGUGGCGAAGGCGGCUACCUGGUCUGCAACUGACGCUGAGACUCGAAAGCAUGGGUAGCGAACAGGAUUAGAUACCCUGGUAGUCCAUGCCGUAAACGAUGAGUGCUAGGUGUUGGAGGGUUUCCGCCCUUCAGUGCCGGAGCUAACGCAUUAAGCACUCCGCCUGGGGAGUACGACCGCAAGGUUGAAACUCAAAGGAAUUGACGGGGGCCCGCACAAGCGGUGGAGCAUGUGGUUUAAUUCGAAGCUACGCGAAGAACCUUACCAGGUCUUGACAUCUUGCGCCAACCCUAGAGAUAGGGCGUUUCCUUCGGGAACGCAAUGACAGGUGUGCAUGGUCGUCGUCAGCUCGUGUCGUGAGAUGUGGGUAGUCCCGCACGAGCGCACCUGUACUAGUGCAGCAUAGUGGCACUCUAGUGAGACUGCGUGACAAACCGGACAGUGGGACGACGUCGGAUCAUCAUGCGUAUGACCUGCUAACACUGUGCUACAUGAACGUACAACGAGUUCGCGAAACCUUCCGGAAGGUCCA